This 429-nucleotide ribosomal RNA is filed under the name bacterium. RNAcentral describes it as "partial 16S ribosomal RNA". It matches the Rfam family "Bacterial small subunit ribosomal RNA", at positions 355 to 776 of the family's 1533-position model. The record is from RNAcentral.
UAGGGAAUCUUCCACAAUGGACGCACGUCUGAUGGAGCAACGCCGCGUGAGUGAGGAAGGUUUUCGGAUCGUAAAGCUCUGUUGUUGGUGAAGAAGGAUAGAGGCAGUAACUGGUCUUUAUUUGACGGUAAUCAACCAGAAAGUCACGGCUAACUACGUGCCAGCAGCCGCGGUAAUACGUAGGUGGCAAGCGUUGUCCGGAUUUAUUGGGCGUAAAGCGAGCGCAGGCGGAAUGAUAAGUCUGAUGUGAAAGCCCACGGCUCAACCGUGGAACUGCAUCGGAAACUGUCAUUCUUGAGUGCAGAAGAGGAGAGUGGAAUUCCAUGUGUAGCGGUGGAAUGCGUAGAUAUAUGGAAGAACACCAGUGGCGAAGGCGGCUCUCUGGUCUGCAACUGACGCUGAGGCUCGAAAGCAUGGGUAGCGAACAGG